UAUGAACGCUGGCGGCGUGCCUAAUACAUGCAAGUCGAGCGAACAGACGAGGAGCUUGCUCCUUCGACGUUAGCGGCGGACGGGUGAGUAACACGUAGGUAACCUACCUAUAAGACUGGGAUAACUUCGGGAAACCGGAGCUAAUACCGGAUAAUAUUUCGAACCGCAUGGUUCGAUAGUGAAAGAUGGCUUUGCUAUCACUUAUAGAUGGACCUGCGCCGUAUUAGCUAGUUGGUAAGGUAACGGCUUACCAAGGCAACGAUACGUAGCCGACCUGAGAGGGUGAUCGGCCACACUGGAACUGAGACACGGUCCAGACUCCUACGGGAGGCAGCAGUAGGGAAUCUUCCGCAAUGGGCGAAAGCCUGACGGAGCAACGCCGCGUGAGUGAUGAAGGUCUUCGGAUCGUAAAACUCUGUUAUUAGGGAAGAACAAACGUGUAAGUAACUGUGCACGUCUUGACGGUACCUAAUCAGAAAGCCACGGCUAACUACGUG
Molecule: ribosomal RNA, 497 nt
Filed under: uncultured bacterium
Lineage: Bacteria
Description: partial 16S ribosomal RNA
Rfam family: Bacterial small subunit ribosomal RNA
Source: RNAcentral